AAUAGAUACCCAGGUAGUCCACGCCGUAAACGAUGAGUGCUAAGUGUUAGAGGGUUUCCGCCCUUUAGUGCUGAAGUUAACGCACUAAGCACUCCGCCUGGGGAGUACGGCCGCAAGGCUGAAACUCAAAGGAAUUGACGGGGGCCCGCACAAGCGGUGGAGCAUGUGGUUUAAUUCGAAGCAACGCGAAGAACCUUACCAGGUCUUGACAUCCUCUGACAACCCUAGAGAUAGGGCUUCUCCUUCGGGAGCAGAGUGACAGGUGGUGCAUGGUUGUCGUCAGCUCGUGUCGUGAGAUGUUGGGUUAAGUCCCGCAACGAGCGCAACCCUUGAUCUUAGUUGCCAUCAUUAAGUUGGGCACUCUAAGGUGACUGCCGGUGACAAACCGGAGGAAGGUGGGGAUGACGUCAAAUCAUCAUGCCCCUUAUGACCUGGGCUACACACGUGCUACAAUGGACGGUACAAAGAGCUGCAAGACCGCGAGGUGGAGCUAAUCUCAUAAAACCGUUCUCAGUUCGGA
This 520-nucleotide ribosomal RNA is filed under the name uncultured bacterium. RNAcentral's name for it is "bacterial SSU rRNA". It matches the Rfam family "Bacterial small subunit ribosomal RNA", at positions 777 to 1297 of the family's 1533-position model. The record is from RNAcentral.